GCCGCCUUAGCUCAGUUGGUAGAGCGUCGCUUUUGUAAAGCGAGGGUCCUCGGUUCGAGUCCGAGAGGCGGCU
RNAcentral lists this transfer RNA (73 nucleotides) under Candidatus Lloydbacteria bacterium RIFCSPHIGHO2_02_FULL_50_11. RNAcentral's name for it is "tRNA-Thr". It matches the Rfam family "tRNA". Rfam says of the family: Transfer RNA (tRNA) molecules are approximately 80 nucleotides in length. Their secondary structure includes four short double-helical elements and three loops (D, anti-codon, and T loops). RNAcentral also lists the same sequence under 1 other name. The record is from RNAcentral. Lineage: Bacteria; Candidatus Lloydiibacteriota.